Molecule: ribosomal RNA, 2628 nt
Filed under: Triticum aestivum (bread wheat)
Lineage: Eukaryota; Viridiplantae; Streptophyta; Magnoliopsida; Poales; Poaceae
Description: partial small subunit ribosomal RNA
Source: RNAcentral
UGUAGUAGGUAGUCGCGACGUCAGCACGUGCCUUCGUCGUGUUCUAUAGUACAAGAAGGUCACACCGGGGACUGCCCUGGCUAGUUCGCUUGGUCGCUCGGCGUGGUUGGGGUGUGACCUCUUUGGGCGCUCGGCGCUCGCCGUGGUGGUGGUCGACGUCGCGGUCGCUGGGUGCGGCACGCCGCCGGGGGGCAGGCAGGGUGGUUAACCGUGCCCGUUGGAGCAUCCUGCGCGGGGUGCCGGUGUCGCGAUGAGGAGGUGGUGGUGGGUGCGUGCGUGGAUGGGCCCCGUCGGGCAUUUACGCACGCGUCCCCACCCGCGCGCCCUCCCGCCACCGCGCGAACUACUGCGGUAAGUUAACGGGGUGCCGGGUGCGGAGGAGGGGGGUGGACGACGACGGCGCCGACGACGACGAGGCGAGGAGGAGGAGAAUAUGGGAGGAGGGGAGAGCGGAGGCUGCGGUUAAGCGGAGCCUGCGGAGGAGGAGGGGUCGGAGUCAACUGUUGUGGUCUGUCUCAAGAGCAUGCAAGUACCUCCAACAAGAUCUUCAGAAAUUCGUACCGAGACGUGUACCACGGGCACGCCGAUAUUCUCGACUGGUCUUCUCAAUGUCGGAACAGGUCGAAUAAAGCAGACGUGACCUACACGUGUUAUAAAACACGUCUUUUGUACUACCAUUUCUAAGAAGACAGUUACCUCGUUUACGCUGUCCUAAGGAAACACCACGAGCAUAACCGUAGCACCGAUUUGGGAGAGGACUUAAACAACGACCCUAUAAACCUUGGACCGAAAGACCACCUCAACGUCAUGGGGAACGUGAAUCGAUAGGACUUCAACUUGAGGACGUACAGUACUUACUGAGCCUGUAAAGAUACCACAAUUCGUGUUUUCUCGUAGUACUGUAAUACCUUUCGUAGAGAUGGUUUACAAGGUGAGCAAUAAGAGAAGAAGGUUGACACCUUUCAUAUGGAGGUUUCUAUCUACGGGUUCUUGGAAAUUCAUCACAUCACUGAAGUAGUCAAAGAUCGAAUUACCGACUCUAACUGUGAAAUUUCUUUUAAUUUCCUCUACUAGGACGAGAAUAGGAAAUGUGCUCACCGUGUUGACCAUUUGGCUUUCCUCAUCAGGUGUGAGUACUCCCCUAUGAAAGAGUCCAAGUUUAAGACUGUCUCCGUACCCCUAUAGUUUCACUUCUAGUCAAAGAGGUGACAGAAGGUGACGUGGUACACGUACCAGAAAAGUUACGAGAUAAACGCGGGGAGAUAAGUCCUAGUCACCAGCUCAAAAACGGUUUUAAGUCACACUCCCCUCAUACCGUCUCUACCGCACUCAGUAUAGGGUUACUGCCGUCAUUUUUACUACUCCGAUAAUGUCAUAAAUGACCUCAAGGCUGUCACAUGUGUGCGGAUGACGUUCCCAUGCUAUCAUACUUAGGACUAGUUGUCAGACGGACAAGAAUACGGCGUUUCGUCGACUCUGAUUACUACACACCUAGUAGUCGUGAAGGAAGGGGUGAGUACUUUGCCACCGUCCUUCACUGUCCGGUGGCAGAAAACCUUGCGAUACCGUACUGACUCAAACAGUACCGUGACAGAUUAGGUAACGUACCACGUUCCUUUCUUCCAUGUCAGCCAUUUGGAGAAGGCGCACAACUCCGGUUCUAGUAAUACCUGCUACCAUGACUUUGAUUUUGACCUCAGCCACUCGAGACAUAAUUUUCAGGCAGGGAAAAGUUUCUCAUGACCUUUUCUGGCCUCCAAUGUCGUCUUAGUAAAUAACUACCACCCAAGAAGUUCUGACCACUAUGCCAUUGGCAUCUACUCCUGCCUAUGAAAUAUUAAGAUCCCGCGUGUUUACGACUAUAGUACUUUCAACCACCAAUAUUCAACAGUCGCAAUCUUUAACUCCGCCAAGACAAUCUCGUACUGUGACAUGACCUCACACGACAAGAACCGAACGGGCUACUUCGAAUACCCCUCCGAUAUACACGUUAUUAACACGGAUUCCUCCUACGUUUCCUUUUCCGACUUGUCCGAAGUUUCGGUCGUGAUUGGAAUCUUCGUAACUGUUCAACCAGUUUUCUAUUUGAACGAGGUAUGUUCUAAGGUUGUUCUAACGUGAAUACCCUAAGAGAAGGAGCCUUACGGUACCCUUUCCAAUUGUUCUUCCUCGAAUUCUUUAAUAAUCUCCACAUCGACAUCUUCACGUGCGAGAUCGGUUACGUUGGUUUUCUGGCUAGACUACCUUCUCUGAUCCGUCGUGUAAUAUGCAGUUGUGAGGGGAAGUGCACACCGAGGAAGUCCGGAUUUGCACCUAGCUUUCACCCGACGUUAAAUUAACGCGGUCGACCCAGAACUUGAGUUCUGGAGAACCGAGACUAUAGUACAUUUUCACGUACGAGAUCGGUCACGUUAGUUUUUUGGCUAAACUACCUUCUCUGAUCCGUCGUGUAAUAUGCAGUUGUCAUCGGUGUAAAUGUAACUACAUGGAUAAAAAGGUAGAGUGGGAAGAUGCUCCCUCUGUAUAUCGUCACAGUCGAUUAUUAAAACAGGACCUGUUGUUAUUACUAUUAAAUCUCGUUGACACGUUCAUUUAUCACGUGUGAUAGGAUACGAUUAGAAUUUUCGC